UACGUAGGGUCCGAGCGUUGUCCGGAAUUAUUGGGCGUAAAGAGCUCGUAGGCGGUCUGUCGCGUCGGCUGUGAAAACCUGGGGCUCAACUCCAGGCCUGCAGUCGAUACGGGCAGACUAGAGUUCGGUAGGGGAGACUGGAAUUCCUGGUGUAGCGGUGAAAUGCGCAGAUAUCAGGAGGAACACCGGUGGCGAAGGCGGGUCUCUGGGCCACUACUGACGCUGAGGAGCGAAAGCGUGGGGAGCGAACAGG
RNAcentral lists this ribosomal RNA (253 nucleotides) under uncultured bacterium. Its description in RNAcentral is "partial 16S ribosomal RNA". It matches the Rfam family "Bacterial small subunit ribosomal RNA", at positions 524 to 776 of the family's 1533-position model. The record is from RNAcentral.